AGAGUUUGAUCCUGGCUCAGGAUGAACGCUAGCUACAGGCUUAACACAUGCAAGUCGAGGGGAAACGACAUCGAAAGCUUGCUUUUGAUGGGCGUCGACCGGCGCACGGGUGAGUAACGCGUAUCCAACCUGCCCAUCACUUGGGGAUAACCUUGCGAAAGUAAGACUAAUACCCAAUGAUAUCUCUAGAAGACAUCUGAAGGAGAUUAAAGAUUUAUCGGUGAUGGAUGGGGAUGCGUCUGAUUAGCUUGUUGGCGGGGUAACGGCCCACCAAGGCGACGAUCAGUAGGGGUUCUGAGAGGAAGGUCCCCCACAUUGGAACUGAGACACGGUCCAAACUCCUACGGGAGGCAGCAGUGAGGAAUAUUGGUCAAUGGGCGAGAGCCUGAACCAGCCAAGUAGCGUGCAGGAUGACGGCCCUAUGGGUUGUAAACUGCUUUUAUAUGGGGAUAAAGUGGGUUACGUGUAGCUUAUUGCAGGUACCAUAUGAAUAAGGACCGGCUAAUUCCGUGCCAGCAGCCGCGGUAAUACGGAAGGUCCAGGCGUUAUCCGGAUUUAUUGGGUUUAAAGGGAGCGUAGGCCGCCCCUUAAGCGUGUUGUGAAAUGCCGCGGCUCAACCGUGGCACUGCAGCGCGAACUGGGGGGCUUGAGUGCACGCAACGCAGGCGGAAUUCGUGGUGUAGCGGUGAAAUGCUUAGAUAUCACGAAGAACUCCGAUUGCGAAGGCAGCUUGCGGGAGUGCGACUGACGCUGAAGCUCGAAGGUGCGGGUAUCGAACAGGAUUAGAUACCCUGGUAGUCCGCACAGUAAACGAUGGAUGCCCGCUGUGUGUCUUAAUGGUACGCGGCCAAGCGAAAGCGUUAAGCAUCCCACCUGGGGAGUACGCCGGCAACGGUGAAACUCAAAGGAAUUGACGG
Molecule: ribosomal RNA, 917 nt
Filed under: uncultured bacterium
Lineage: Bacteria
Description: bacterial SSU rRNA
Rfam family: Bacterial small subunit ribosomal RNA
Source: RNAcentral